RNAcentral lists this ribosomal RNA (253 nucleotides) under uncultured bacterium. RNAcentral describes it as "partial 16S ribosomal RNA". It matches the Rfam family "Bacterial small subunit ribosomal RNA", at positions 524 to 776 of the family's 1533-position model. The record is from RNAcentral.
UACGGGGGGGGUAAGCGUUGUUCGGAAUUACUGGGCGUAAAGGGCUCGUAGGCGGCCAACUAAGUCGGACGUGAAAUCCCUCAGCUUAACUGGGGAACUGCGUCCGAUACUGGAUGGCUUGGAUUUGGGAGAGGGAUGCGGAAUUCCAGGUGUAGCGGUGAAAUGCGUAGAUAUCAGGAGGAACACCAAUGGCGAAGGCAGCACUCUGGGACGGUACUGACGCUGAGACGCGAAAGCGUGGGGAGCAAACAGG